ACUCCUGUUGAUACUACCGUGAUGGCACUGAGCUCUGAUUUUGGAAGCUACGUAAGGUUGAACCUGGUUAAUAUUUGAAUGGGAGACCACUAGAGAAUACAGUACCAGGGAUC
RNAcentral lists this ribosomal RNA (113 nucleotides) under Pogona vitticeps (central bearded dragon). Lineage: Eukaryota; Metazoa; Chordata; Lepidosauria; Squamata; Agamidae. The record is from RNAcentral.